UGGAGCACAAAUCUCAUAUUAGUGGUAUUAGUUUCAUUCUUAUGUAUGUCUCUUGUUAUGUUAGUUUUGUUCUACAGAUUAGAGAUAUUCAUUCAUACAUUUUAGCUACUGUAAACCUGUGUUAGAUUACAUAGGUUUAAAAUAACUAAAAUCUAGUAAUGAAUGUCUCUGAUCUGUUUAACAAACUAACAGCAUAAGAGAUAUGCAUAAGAAUUAAACUAAUAUCAUUAACAUGAGAUCAUUUUAUCCCAUAUAUCUUAAUUUUUGAAUCAUUCUUCUACACGGACCCCCAGGUACUGGUAAAACAUCAUUGUGUAAAGCAUUGGCUCAGAAGCUGUCAAUUCGGUUCAGCUCCAGAUAUCCACAGUCCCAG
Molecule: long non-coding RNA, 373 nt
Organism: Spinacia oleracea (spinach)
Lineage: Eukaryota; Viridiplantae; Streptophyta; Magnoliopsida; Caryophyllales; Amaranthaceae
Exons: 3
Source: RefSeq, a predicted model, not a curated record